UACGUAGGGUCCGAGCGUUGUCCGGAAUUAUUGGGCGUAAAGGGCUCGUAGGCGGUCUGUUGCGUCGGGAGUGAAAACUUACAGCUUAACUGUGAGCGUGCUUCCGAUACGGGCAGACUUGAGGUAUUCAGGGGAGAACGGAAUUCCUGGUGUAGCGGUGAAAUGCGCAGAUAUCAGGAGGAACACCGGUGGCGAAGGCGGUUCUCUGGGCAUUACCUGACGCUGAGGAGCGAAAGUGUGGGGAGCGAACAGG
This 253-nucleotide ribosomal RNA is filed under the name uncultured bacterium. RNAcentral describes it as "partial 16S ribosomal RNA". It matches the Rfam family "Bacterial small subunit ribosomal RNA", at positions 524 to 776 of the family's 1533-position model. The record is from RNAcentral.